CUUAUCAAGAGUGGCUUCUUGCACAAAAGCGGGGGACUGGUCCCUAUGAAGCCCGGCAACCUAUUCGCUGACGAAAAAGGUGCUACUUCCUGCGGUGUAUACCGAGAGAUGAGG
Molecule: non-coding RNA, 114 nt
Filed under: human gut metagenome
Source: RNAcentral